RNAcentral lists this ribosomal RNA (465 nucleotides) under uncultured bacterium. RNAcentral's name for it is "partial 16S ribosomal RNA". It matches the Rfam family "Bacterial small subunit ribosomal RNA", at positions 31 to 507 of the family's 1533-position model. The record is from RNAcentral.
GAACGCUGGCGGCGUGCUUAACACAUGCAAGUCGAACGGAAAGGCCCAAGCUUGCUUGGGUACUCGAGUGGCGAACGGGUGAGUAACACGUGGGUGAUCUGCCCUGCACUUCGGGAUAAGCCUGGGAAACUGGGUCUAAUACCGGAUAGGACGAUGGUUUGGAUGCCAUUGUGGAAAGUUUUUUCGGUGUGGGAUGAGCUCGCGGCCUAUCAGCUUGUUGGUGGGGUAAUGGCCUACCAAGGCGUCGACGGGUAGCCGGCCUGAGAGGGUGUACGGCCACAUUGGGACUGAGAUACGGCCCAGACUCCUACGGGAGGCAGCAGUGGGGAAUAUUGCACAAUGGGCGCAAGCCUGAUGCAGCGACGCCGCGUGGGGGAUGACGGCCUUCGGGUUGUAAACUCCUUUCGCUAGGGACGAAGCGUUUUUGUGACGGUACCUGGAGAAGAAGCACCGGCUAACUACGUG